AGACCCGAAACCCGGUGAUCUAGCCAUGGGCAGGUUGAAGGUUGGGUAACACUAACUGGAGGACCGAACCGACUAAUGUUGAAAAAUUAGCGGAUGACCUGUGGCUGGGGGUGAAAGGCCAAUCAAACCGGGAGAUAGCUGGUUCUCCCCGAAAGCUAUUUAGGUAGCGCCUCGUGAAUUCAUCUCCGGGGGUAGAGCACUGUUUCGGCUAGGGGGCCAUCCCGGCUUACCAACCCGAUGCAAACUGCGAAUACCGGAGAAUGUUAUCACGGGAGACACACGGCGGGUGCUAACGUCCGUCGUGAAGAGGGAAACAACCCAGACCGCCAGCUAAGGUCCCAAAGUCAUGGUUAAGUGGGAAACGAUGUGGGAAGGCCCAGACAGCCAGGAUGUUGGCUUAGAAGCAGCCAUCAUUUAAAGAAAGCGUAAUAGCUCACUGGUCGAGUCGGCCUGCGCGGAAGAUGUAACGGGGCUAAACCAUGCACCGAAGCUGCGGCAGCGACACUGUGUGUUGUUGGGUAGGGGAGCGUUCUGUAAGCCUGCGAAGGUGGCCUGUGAGGGUUGCUGGAGGUAUCAGAAGUGCGAAUGCUGACAUAAGUAACGAUAAAGCGGGUGAAAAGCCCGCUCGCCGGAAGACCAAGGGUUCCUGUCCAACGUUAAUCGGGGCAGGGUGAGUCGACCCCUAAGGCGAGGCCGAAAGGCGUAGUCGAUGGGAAACGGGUUAAUAUUCCCGUACUUGGUGUUACUGCGAAGGGGGGACGGAGAAGGCUAUGUUGGCCGGGCGACGGUUGUCCCGGUUUAAGCGUGUAGGUGUGUGUUCCAGGUAAAUCCGGUUCACUUUAACACUGAGGCGUGAUGACGAGGCACUACGGUGCUGAAGCAACAAAUGCCCUGCUUCCAGGAAAAGCCUCUAAGCAUCAGGUAACAUCAAAUCGUACCCCAAACCGACACAGGUGGUCAGGUAGAGAAUACCAAGGCGCUUGAGAGAACUCGGGUGAAGGAACUAGGCAAAAUGGUGCCGUAACUUCGGGAGAAGGCACGCUGACACGUAGGUGAAGUGAUUUACUCAUGGAGCUGAAGUCAGUCGAAGAUACCAGCUGGCUGCAACUGUUUAUUAAAAACACAGCACUGUGCAAACACGAAAGUGGACGUAUACGGUGUGACGCCUGCCCGGUGCCGGAAGGUUAAUUGAUGGGGUCAGCGCAAGCGAAGCUCCUGAUCGAAGCCCCGGUAAACGGCGGCCGUAACUAUAACGGUCCUAAGGUAGCGAAAUUCCUUGUCGGGUAAGUUCCGACCUGCACGAAUGGCGUAAUGAUGGCCAGGCUGUCUCCACCCGAGACUCAGUGAAAUUGAACUCGCUGUGAAGAUGCAGUGUACCCGCGGCAAGACGGAAAGACCCCGUGAACCUUUACUAUAGCUUGACACUGAACAUUGAGCCUUGAUGUGUAGGAUAGGUGGG
RNAcentral lists this ribosomal RNA (1459 nucleotides) under Salmonella enterica subsp. enterica serovar Newport. RNAcentral describes it as "partial 23S ribosomal RNA". It matches the Rfam family "Bacterial large subunit ribosomal RNA", at positions 711 to 2151 of the family's 2925-position model. The record is from RNAcentral. Lineage: Bacteria; Pseudomonadati; Pseudomonadota; Gammaproteobacteria; Enterobacterales; Enterobacteriaceae.